UGGGGAAUAUUGCACAAUGGGCGCAAGCCUUAUGCAGCCAUGCCGCGUGUGUGAAGAAGGCCUUCGGGUUGUAAAGCACUUUCAGCGGGGAGGAAGGCGAUAAGGUUAAUAACCUUGUCGAUUGACGUUACCCGCAGAAGAAGCACCGGCUAACUCCGUGCCAGCAGCCGCGGUAAUACGGAGGGUGCAAGCGUUAAUCGGAAUUACUGGGCGUAAAGCGCACGCAGGCGGUCUGUCAAGUCGGAUGUGAAAUCCCCGGGCUCAACCUGGGAACUGCAUUCGAAACUGGCAGGCUAGAGUCUUGUAGAGGGGGGUAGAAUUCCAGGUGUAGCGGUGAAAUGCGUAGAGAUCUGGAGGAAUACCGGUGGCGAAGGCGGCCCCCUGGACAAAGACUGACGCUCAGGUGCGAAAGCGUGGGGAGCAAACAGG
RNAcentral lists this ribosomal RNA (429 nucleotides) under Chloroflexota bacterium. RNAcentral describes it as "Chloroflexi bacterium partial 16S ribosomal RNA". It matches the Rfam family "Bacterial small subunit ribosomal RNA", at positions 355 to 776 of the family's 1533-position model. The record is from RNAcentral. Lineage: Bacteria; Bacillati; Chloroflexota.